UUUUUCCGUGAGCAGACGCACCGCCGCCUGCAACGUCCGUUCGUGGCCGCCAGCUCGUUCGCCUCCCCGCACCUCUAGCCUCGCGUUAUGGCAGCGCCCGUUCACAGUUUCCUCACGCCACAACCGUUUCUUUGAUGCUGUCAUCAAUAGCGUUCAACACAGUGCUUCAAUCGGCAUUCAACCAUGGCCAUGAAUCUCUCCCCACUCGCGCGUGCAGCCGCCACCGGCUCUUCACCUCCUCGCCCAGCAUUAUGGCCAGCUCGCCCCACCCUCUCCAUUUCUCCCCACUAACUAUUGGCAGUUUCUCCUACCCAGUUCUCCCAAGUGUCGUUAUUGGCGGUGCUGGUAACCGCCCUUCUCCUUCCACCCCGACGCCCGACUUCCCUCGCCUUGGCCUAUAAAUUGGACGCCCAGCCGCGUUUCUUCUCCUACUCCCUUACCCAACUCUCGCUUUCGUCCUUCCCCAGCCACCCUCGCUCACGCACUUCGCUCCCAUUGUUUGUCGUCGCUGCUCCGCCGGAGGCCGCGCCUGUAGCGUCGCCGACACCGUCGUCUGCACGCCUGUUAGUCCCUGCUGACAUAUUAUUGUUAUUUUUCUAAUGAAUAUUUGGGUCCCAAUAACUUGAUUACGAUUAUCAUAUUUUGUAUGCUAAAUAGCUCUUUUCAAUAGUUUUUAUGAUUUCACUAUUUCUUGUCUAGAAAAGUUAUGUUUACACACUGUAGUAAACAUUAUUAUAACUAGACAAUUCAUCAUUCCCUAUUUUCAGUUAUAAUAAUAUUGGGUUUUCAUUUCUUUUUCACUCAUGAGAUUUGGUUCACGCAUGUACCGACAGGCAUAAGAACAUAUUAGAUUUAUACCCUAGCUUUGCGUGAAUAAAUACUAAUAAUAUGUUUAUAUAAUUCUCCUAAGAAAUAAUAGAAUUUCUAUUAGUGUUAAAAUGAUAUAGUCAUGGUCGUGUCUAUUAUAGUCUAAUAGUUUAAUGAACUAUAGGUUAUGGGUCUUAUAAACAACAUUAUAUUGUUUUAAUAAAGUUUUUCAAAUGAAAAGUUAAAAGGAUUCAUAACCCGCGCUACAUCUAUGUUAUUUUAUAUGAAUUUAUAUAGUAUUUGCUUCCAAAGUAAAUUUGCCAUAUAGAUUCCUCUAGUGAAUUCUCGAAACUAAAUGAUUAGUAUUUUAACUCAUAACAAAUGAGAUGAUCAUCGAUAUGGAUAGACUUAUAUUAUAGUUACAAAUCAAGUCUUAUUUUAAGAUGUCUUCCUUUUAUAAGUAUGAUUUGUAAAGUGUAUGUUUCAUUGUUUGUUAAAUGGUGUAUGUUUAUUUAUUGGUGUAUGCUUUCUUUUUGUAUGGCGACGUGCGAAGUUAUUAGAAGCUGAUUGUGUGGUAGAGGAUCCGAAUUCGUGUGAGGACGAUUCGCAGGACACUUUUGAGCAAGGCAAAUGGAUUCUCCCUCUGCAUAUUCUAUUUGUAUCCAAUCAAUGCAUAUAAUAAUGUUUACUUUUUGAUAUACUACAUAACUUGAUGAGUUUUACCUAAUUAAGGAUUUCCUAGAUUUAUCAACUGUAUUCCUUGUUUACCCUGGGGAACUUUGCAAACUUGUGCUACCGCUCCACUUAAUAACUUUUAUGUCACUCAUUAAUUGAUAUUAAUGUUCCGAUAAUGAAAUUAGCAAUUAUGACAUUAACCCGAUGGUUAAAACAACAUUAUUUCAUAUUAAUUGGAACAUGGAGUGACUACCCAGGAUAACAGUGCAACCACGAGUGCUAUCAUGGCUCUGGCUUUGGUAAUUAGCUUUAUAUGCUUAGUGCCUGACAACCUUACCUGAAAUAUGGGCAAGAGGGGGAGCGGUGGUGUUGGCAGCUCACGUUAUCAAGGGGACAUAUUCUUAGCUAAGGUACCUCACCCAGGGGGUCACCACCAUCGGCUUUAGAAACCUUAGCGGGUUGCUUCGUAUUAAGUGUAUUUUGUGAAAGCCUCAUAAUGGAUCCCUAGCCAUUCACCUUGGCAGUGUUUAAGGGUCCGAUCAACCCGGGCUAGAUGGGAUACAUGGCUUGUGGGUAAAGUUGUACCACCUCUGCAGAGUGUAAAACUGAUAUAUCAGUCGUGCUCCCGGUUAAGAGCGACCUGGACUCCUCACAUGAUAAUUGAACUUGAAGAUGGAAUUAAAUUGAGAUCUGAUGAUCUGCCAAUGAUUUGCUUAAGUGGUUUCACUUAAGUGUUUUUGUAUAUUCAUAUUCCUUUGUUUAAGUGGGAUACUUGGGAUUCACACUUAUUAGUAAGACAUGUGUUGUUAAUAAAAUAUUGACCAACUAAAAUGCUUACUGCUCAACCUUAGCAUCACCUUGUUAUACCUGCAUUAAUUGUUCCCCCACUUGUUGAGCCCCGACCAUAAGUGAGCUCACCCUUGCUAUUAUUUUGAUCAGAGGGUGAUGCUGGAGACUUUGAUGGAGAUAUUGACGACGAUGAAUUCUAAGUCUAACGAUACACCGGUCAUCUUCCUGUGAGAGAUUGCCCCUGUUAUUUAAAUUCCGCUUUACUUUGAUGUGAUACUUGUUAAAGAUACAAUGAUUCAGAUGAUGUAAUAAAAUUCUACUCUCUUUACGCCUUUAUUGCAUUGUCUUUUGAUA
RNAcentral lists this long non-coding RNA (2625 nucleotides) under Zea mays. Its description in RNAcentral is "long non-coding RNA (ZMAY_LNC001710)". Lineage: Eukaryota; Viridiplantae; Streptophyta; Magnoliopsida; Poales; Poaceae. The record is from RNAcentral.